Molecule: transfer RNA, 72 nt
Filed under: Schizaea pusilla
Lineage: Eukaryota; Viridiplantae; Streptophyta; Polypodiopsida; Schizaeales; Schizaeaceae
Description: tRNA-Gly
Rfam family: tRNA
About the family: Transfer RNA (tRNA) molecules are approximately 80 nucleotides in length. Their secondary structure includes four short double-helical elements and three loops (D, anti-codon, and T loops).
Source: RNAcentral
UGCGGGUGUAGUCGAAUGGUAAAACAUCUCCUUGCCAAGGAGAAGACGCGGGUUCGAUUCCCGCUACCCGCC